RNAcentral lists this ribosomal RNA (222 nucleotides) under Triticum aestivum (bread wheat). RNAcentral describes it as "partial small subunit ribosomal RNA". Lineage: Eukaryota; Viridiplantae; Streptophyta; Magnoliopsida; Poales; Poaceae. The record is from RNAcentral.
AUGAAAAUGAUAUGUUGGAACUGUCGAGGGUUGGGUCGCCCUCGGACAGUCCAAGAGCUUGUCUGUCUCACUAAGACACAUCGACCCAAUGUUAUCUUUCUUUCCGAAACAAGGCAAAAUAAAGAAUAUGUUGAGAGUUUGCGGUAUCGCUUGGGUAUGAAAAAUGUUUUCUCUGUUUCUGUGCCAGGCAAAGGUGGUGGACUAGCGGUAUUUUGGGAUGAU